AUUGAACGCUGGCGGCAGGCCUAACACAUGCAAUUCGAACGAGUGGCGUACGGGUGAGUAAUGUCUGGGAAACUGCCUGAUGGAGGGGGAUAACUACUGGAAACGGUAGCUAAUACCGCAUACCAUCGGAUUUGCCCAGAUGGGAUUAGCUAUUAGGUGGGGUAACGGCUCACCUAGGCGACGAUCCCUAGCUGGUCUGAGCGGAUGACCAGCAACACUGGAACUGAGACACGGUCCAGAUUCCUACGGGAGGCAGCAGGGGGGAAUAUUGCACAAUGGGCGCAAGCCUGAUGCAGCAAUGCCGCGUGUAUGAAGAAGGCCUUCGGGUUGUAAAGAACUUUCAGCGAGAAGGCGUUACUCGCAGAAGAGGCACCGGCUAACUCCGUGCCAGCAGCCGCGGUAAUAC
Molecule: ribosomal RNA, 406 nt
Filed under: uncultured bacterium
Lineage: Bacteria
Description: partial 16S ribosomal RNA
Rfam family: Bacterial small subunit ribosomal RNA
Source: RNAcentral